GUGGGGAUGACGUCAAAUCAUCAUGCCCCUUAUGAUUUGGGCUACACACGUGCUACAAUGGACAAUACAAAGGGCAGCGAAACCGUGAGGUCAAGCAAAUCCCAUAAAGUUGUUCUCAGUUCGGAUUGUAGUCUGCAACUCGACUACAUGAAGCUGGAAUCGCUAGUAAUCGUAGAUCAUCAUGCUACGGUGAAUACGUUCCCGGGUCUUGUACACACCGCCCGUCACACCACGAGAGUUUGUAACACCCGAAGCCGGUGGAGUAACCUUUUAGGAGCUAGCCGUCGAAGGUGGGACAAAUGAUUGGGGUGAAGUCGUAACAAGGUAGCCGUAUCGGAAGGUGCGGCUGGAUCACCUCCUUU
This 362-nucleotide ribosomal RNA is filed under the name Staphylococcus aureus. RNAcentral describes it as "bacterial SSU rRNA". It matches the Rfam family "Bacterial small subunit ribosomal RNA", at positions 1173 to 1533 of the family's 1533-position model. Lineage: Bacteria; Bacillati; Bacillota; Bacilli; Caryophanales; Staphylococcaceae. The record is from RNAcentral.